This 253-nucleotide ribosomal RNA is filed under the name uncultured bacterium. RNAcentral describes it as "partial 16S ribosomal RNA". It matches the Rfam family "Bacterial small subunit ribosomal RNA", at positions 524 to 776 of the family's 1533-position model. The record is from RNAcentral.
UACGGAGGGUGCGAGCGUUGUCCGGAAUUAUUGGGCGUAAAGGGCUCGUAGGCGGUUUGUCGCGUCGGGAGUGAAAACCUUGGGCUUAACUCAGGGCUUGCUUUCGAUACGGGCAGACUAGAGGUAUGCAGGGGAGAACGGAAUUCCUGGUGUAGCGGUGAAAUGCGCAGAUAUCAGGAGGAACACCGGUGGCGAAGGCGGUUCUCUGGGCAUGAUCUGACGCUGAGGAGCGAAAGUGUGGGGAGCGAACAGG